RNAcentral lists this ribosomal RNA (497 nucleotides) under uncultured bacterium. Its description in RNAcentral is "partial 16S ribosomal RNA". It matches the Rfam family "Bacterial small subunit ribosomal RNA", at positions 28 to 507 of the family's 1533-position model. The record is from RNAcentral.
GAUGAACGCUGGCGGCGUGCCUAAUACAUGCAAGUCGAGCGAACAGACGAGGAGCUUGCUCCUCUGACGUUAGCGGCGGACGGGUGAGUAACACGUGGAUAACCUACCUAUAAGACUGGGAUAACUUCGGGAAACCGGAGCUAAUACCGGAUAAUAUAUUGAACCGCAUGGUUCAAUAGUGAAAGACGGUUUUGCUGUCACUUAUAGAUGGAUCCGCGCCGCAUUAGCUAGUUGGUAAGGUAACGGCUUACCAAGGCAACGAUGCGUAGCCGACCUGAGAGGGUGAUCGGCAACACUGGAACUGAGACACGGUCAAGACUCCAACGGGAGGCAGCAGUAGGGAACCUUCCGAAAUGGGCGAAAGCUGGACGAAGCAACGCCGCGGGAGUGAUGAAGGUCUUCGGAUCGUAAAACUCUGUUAUUAGGGAAGAACAAAUGUGUAAGUAACUAUGCACGUCUUGACGGUACCUAAUCAGAAAGCCACGGCUAACUACGUG